UUUACUUCUAACUGGUCGGCAGCUGGAUGCUGCUGUGGAACUGGCAGCUUCUAGAGGAGAUGUGCGGCUUGCAUGUCUUCUUAGCCAAGCUGGUGGUUCGAUGGCUAAUCGUUCUGAUGUUGCUAGGCAGCUUGGUAUUUGGAGAGUGAAUGGGUUGGACUUCAAUUUUGUUGAGACGGAGAGGAUUAGGGUUCUUGAGUUGGUUGCUGGCAACAUUCAUAGAGCAUUGCAUGAUGUAGACAUUGACUGGAAAAGGUUUCUGGGGUUGUUGAUGUGGUAUCAGCUUCCACCAGAAACUGAAUUGCCUAUUGUGUUCCGCACAUAUCAGAGGCUUCUUAAUGAAGGAAAAGCUCCGUCUCCAGUUCCAGUUUAUAUUGAUGAAGGACCUAUAGAAGUCUCAAUGAAUUG
Molecule: unclassified non-coding RNA, 408 nt
Filed under: Hevea brasiliensis (rubber tree)
Lineage: Eukaryota; Viridiplantae; Streptophyta; Magnoliopsida; Malpighiales; Euphorbiaceae
Source: RNAcentral